This 165-nucleotide ribosomal RNA is filed under the name uncultured bacterium. RNAcentral's name for it is "partial 16S rRNA". It matches the Rfam family "Bacterial small subunit ribosomal RNA", at positions 355 to 511 of the family's 1533-position model. The record is from RNAcentral.
UAGGGAAUCUUCCACAAUGGGACGCAAGUCUGAUGGAGCAACGCCGCGUGAGUGAAGAAGGUUUUCGGAUCGUAAAGCUCUGUUGUUGGUGAAGAAGGAUAGAGGCAGUAACUGGUCUUUAUUUGACGGUAAUCAACCAGAAAGUCACGGCUAACUACGUGCCAC